UCAAAAAACAAUAUGGUCACCUUCUGCUACAAGAGGAAAUGAUCUGGAAGCAAAGAUUACGAAUAAUGUGGUGGAAACAUGGUGAUCGAAAUAUAAAAUUUUUCCAUACAAUGGUAAGUUCGAGGAAGUGGAAAAACACCAUAUCAUAUCUGGAACAUAAAUUAAGGAUAGACACUCACUGAUACACCACAAAUUAAAGAAGCUUUCUACUCAUCUCCAACCUUCU
Molecule: long non-coding RNA, 226 nt
Filed under: Elaeis guineensis (African oil palm)
Lineage: Eukaryota; Viridiplantae; Streptophyta; Magnoliopsida; Arecales; Arecaceae
Description: long non-coding RNA (EGUI_LNC039768)
Source: RNAcentral